GAUGAACGCUGGCGGCGUGCCUAAUACAUGCAAGUCGAGCGAACGGACGAGAAGCUUGCUUCUCUGAUGUUAGCGGCGGACGGGUGAGUAACACGUGGAUAACCUACCUAUAAGACUGGGAUAACUUCGGGAAACCGUAGCUAAUACCGGAUAAUAUUUUGAACCGCAUGGUUCAAAAGUGAAAGACGGUCUUGCUGUCACUUAUAGAUGGAUCCGCGCUGCAUUAGCUAGUUGGUAAGGUAACGGCUUACCAAGGCAACGAUGCAUAGCCGACCUGAGAGGGUGAUCGGUCACACUGGAACUGAGACACGGUCCAGACUCCUACGGGAGGCAGCAGUAGGGAAUCUUCCGCAAUGGGCGAAAGCCUGACGGAGCAAUGCCGCGUGAGUGAUGAAGGUCUUCGGAUCGUAAAACUCUGUUAUUAGGGAAGAACAUAUGUGUAAGUAACUGUGCACAUCUUGACGGUACCUAAUCAGAAAGCCACGGCUAACUACGUG
Molecule: ribosomal RNA, 497 nt
Filed under: uncultured bacterium
Lineage: Bacteria
Description: partial 16S ribosomal RNA
Rfam family: Bacterial small subunit ribosomal RNA
Source: RNAcentral